UUCGGAGGGUGCAAGGGUUAAUCGGAAUUACUGGCGUAAAGCGCCCGCAGGCGGUCUGUCACGUCGGAUGUGAAAUCCCCGGGCUCAACGUGGGCACUGCAUCCGAAACUGGCAGGCUAGAGUCUUGUAGAGGGGGGUAGAAUGCCAGGUGUAGCGGUGAAAUGCGUAGAGAUCUGGAGGAAUACCGGUGGCGAAGGCGGCCCCCUGGACAAAGACUGACGCUCAGGUGCGAAAGCGUGGGUAGCAAACAGG
RNAcentral lists this unclassified non-coding RNA (252 nucleotides) under uncultured Enterobacteriaceae bacterium. RNAcentral describes it as "contains 16S-23S intergenic spacer region". It matches the Rfam family "Bacterial small subunit ribosomal RNA", at positions 524 to 776 of the family's 1533-position model. The record is from RNAcentral. Lineage: Bacteria; Pseudomonadati; Pseudomonadota; Gammaproteobacteria; Enterobacterales; Enterobacteriaceae.